UUAUAUUACCGGUACUGCGCUGGUGCAUUUGUUUGGCGUGGUGAACGAUAGCGGUAUAAAUUGGCAGUACGGUGCGAAUGUGCGGUAAUGAGACCUGUCUGAGCGCCUUUAAUCCAGUGUGGUGCUGUAAACGGAUGAGAGCUGUAGAGAAGCUGGCUACAGGUGCAUGUAAAAGGUGUUGAGAGUUGAGGAAUCCAGAGUUCUCCAACUGUAAGUGUUAGGUACUCUCCUCCAGCUUUGCUGAACUGACGCCGUGUAUAAACGGAUUUGAUUCAGAGGUGUUCAUUUUUAAAGUGCACACACCUCACCUUCACAGAGGCAGGAAGCUGGGCAGAGUUCUCUUCAACGACUGUGCUGGUAGAGGGUAUAACAUUUACAGCUCUACUGAUCAGCACUUUCAGGUGGAUGUUGACGGCACAGUGGAACUGAAGACACAGCUCACUCUACACCAAGUUCAAGAAUUCUCAGUCCAUGCCUGGGAUUCAGAGGGAAAGAGGUACACUGCUUCUGUGAGAGUGGAAAACCAUCACCAUGCCCAGCAGGAGGAAACUAAGAACAUGAAUAUAAAUGUUCUGAAGUUGUGGAGACAAAAGAGA
This is a long non-coding RNA of Astyanax mexicanus (Mexican tetra), 596 nucleotides long. RefSeq lists it as uncharacterized. The transcript is spliced from 6 exons. The record is from RefSeq and is a predicted model, not a curated record. Lineage: Eukaryota; Metazoa; Chordata; Actinopteri; Characiformes; Acestrorhamphidae.